RNAcentral lists this ribosomal RNA (321 nucleotides) under Triticum aestivum (bread wheat). RNAcentral's name for it is "partial small subunit ribosomal RNA". The record is from RNAcentral. Lineage: Eukaryota; Viridiplantae; Streptophyta; Magnoliopsida; Poales; Poaceae.
AUGCAGGUGCUUGGAUUCAUUCAGAUUGUUCCUUCCCUUCGUCUUUUGCUUUCUCAGUGCAACUCUAGUAGAUACGCUAUAACCUCGUCGGCCCACAUAAUUCAUGUCGAUAGCGUUUUUUGUAGCUCGAACAGGUCUGUUAUAUCUAGGUUGACCCGUAAAAAUAUACAAGCGGCCCACAAAACCGUUGUUGCUCGCUAUAUCUACAUGACCGCCAGCUUUUUAGGGUUCCCCCUCUCGCAUUUCCUCCGCCGCAAUCCACCUCCUCCCUUCCUAUCUCAGGUGAGCAAUUCUGCCAGAUGUAGUUUCUUUUCCUGGUGA